This 1034-nucleotide ribosomal RNA is filed under the name Staphylococcus aureus. RNAcentral describes it as "partial 23S ribosomal RNA". It matches the Rfam family "Bacterial large subunit ribosomal RNA", at positions 269 to 1306 of the family's 2925-position model. Lineage: Bacteria; Bacillati; Bacillota; Bacilli; Caryophanales; Staphylococcaceae. The record is from RNAcentral.
CCAAACCAACAAGCUUGCUUGUUGGGGUUGUAGGACACUCUAUACGGAGUUACAAAGGACGACAUUAGACGAAUCAUCUGGAAAGAUGAAUCAAAGAAGGUAAUAAUCCUGUAGUCGAAAAUGUUGUCUCUCUUGAGUGGAUCCUGAGUACGACGGAGCACGUGAAAUUCCGUCGGAAUCUGGGAGGACCAUCUCCUAAGGCUAAAUACUCUCUAGUGACCGAUAGUGAACCAGUACCGUGAGGGAAAGGUGAAAAGCACCCCGGAAGGGGAGUGAAAUAGAACCUGAAACCGUGUGCUUACAAGUAGUCAGAGCCCGUUAAUGGGUGAUGGCGUGCCUUUUGUAGAAUGAACCGGCGAGUUACGAUUUGAUGCAAGGUUAAGCAGUAAAUGUGGAGCCGUAGCGAAAGCGAGUCUGAAUAGGGCGUUUAGUAUUUGGUCGUAGACCCGAAACCAGGUGAUCUACCCUUGGUCAGGUUGAAGUUCAGGUAACACUGAAUGGAGGACCGAACCGACUUACGUUGAAAAGUGAGCGGAUGAACUGAGGGUAGCGGAGAAAUUCCAAUCGAACCUGGAGAUAGCUGGUUCUCUCCGAAAUAGCUUUAGGGCUAGCCUCAAGUGAUGAUUAUUGGAGGUAGAGCACUGUUUGGACGAGGGGCCCCUCUCGGGUUACCGAAUUCAGACAAACUCCGAAUGCCAAUUAAUUUAACUUGGGAGUCAGAACAUGGGUGAUAAGGUCCGUGUUCGAAAGGGAAACAGCCCAGACCACCAGCUAAGGUCCCAAAAUAUAUGUUAAGUGGAAAAGGAUGUGGCGUUGCCCAGACAACUAGGAUGUUGGCUUAGAAGCAGCCAUCAUUUAAAGAGUGCGUAAUAGCUCACUAGUCGAGUGACACUGCGCCGAAAAUGUACCGGGGCUAAACAUAUUACCGAAGCUGUGGAUUGUCCUUUGGACAAUGGUAGGAGAGCGUUCUAAGGGCGUUGAAGCAUGAUCGUAAGGACAUGUGGAGCGCUUAGAAGUGAGAAUGCCGGUGUGAG